Molecule: transfer RNA, 83 nt
Filed under: Pseudomonadota bacterium
Lineage: Bacteria; Pseudomonadati; Pseudomonadota
Also listed under: 3 other names
Description: Proteobacteria bacterium tRNA-Leu
Rfam family: tRNA
About the family: Transfer RNA (tRNA) molecules are approximately 80 nucleotides in length. Their secondary structure includes four short double-helical elements and three loops (D, anti-codon, and T loops). Further hydrogen bonds mediate the characteristic L-shaped molecular structure. tRNAs have two regions of fundamental functional importance: the anti-codon, which is responsible for specific mRNA codon recognition, and the 3' end, to which the tRNAs corresponding amino acid is attached (by aminoacyl-tRNA synthetases). tRNAs cope with the degeneracy of the genetic code in two manners: having more than one tRNA (with a specific anti-codon) for a particular amino acid; and 'wobble' base-pairing, i.e. permitting non-standard base-pairing at the 3rd anti-codon position.
Source: RNAcentral
GCGGACGUGGCGAAAUUGGUAGACGCACUGGAUUUAGGUUCCAGCGGGAAACCGUGGGAGUUCGAGUCUCCCCGUCCGCACCA